AAUGGAGGCAACUCUGAACCAGCCGUGCCGCGUGCAGGAAGACGGCCUCUGGGUUGUAAACUGCUUUUAUUAGGGAAGAAACGCCUCAUGCGUGUGGAACUGACGGUACCUAAAGAAUAAGCACCGGCUAACUCCGUGCCAGCAGCCGCGGUAAUACGGAGGGUGCAAGCGUUGUCCGGAUUUAUUGGGUUUAAAGGGUGCGUAGGCGGUCUUUUAAGUCAGAGGUGAAAUCCCACAGCUUAACUGUGGAACUGCCUUUGAAACUGGAAGACUUGAGUAUAGUUGAGGUAGGCGGAAUUUAUGAUGUAGCGGUGAAAUGCAUAGAUAUCAUAAAGAACACCGAUUGCGAAGGCAGCUUACUGGACUAUAACUGACGCUGAGGCACGAAAGCAUGGGGAGCGAACAGGAUU
Molecule: ribosomal RNA, 410 nt
Filed under: uncultured Bacteroidota bacterium
Lineage: Bacteria; Pseudomonadati; Bacteroidota
Description: bacterial SSU rRNA
Rfam family: Bacterial small subunit ribosomal RNA
Source: RNAcentral